This is a long non-coding RNA of Hordeum vulgare subsp. vulgare (domesticated barley), 2287 nucleotides long. RefSeq lists it as uncharacterized. The record is from RefSeq and is a predicted model, not a curated record. The transcript is spliced from 3 exons. Lineage: Eukaryota; Viridiplantae; Streptophyta; Magnoliopsida; Poales; Poaceae.
GCUUGGUGCUCACUAAGAAUUUACGUGGUGUUGAGACCCUGCCGAUGGAUGGCAUUAGUGGGUUCAAGAGCCUGCAGGUGCUUGUCUUGGCACACUGUGCGCUCUCUGGCAGGAUUCCACCUUGGCUGCAGAACUUGGAGAGCCUCAGAGUGCUGGACCUUUCAUGGAACAAGUUGAACGGAACGAUCCCGCUCUGGUUGGGCAAUCUGAAUAAUCUCUUCUAUGUCGACCUGUCAAACAACUCGUUUAGUGGGGAGCUUCCUGAGAGCUUUACACAGCUAAAGAGUUUACUUUCAAGUAAUUACUCAAAUGAGCAUGCAUCAAUAGAGGGCUUCCCAUUAUUCAAGAAGAAUUCAGCUGACAAAGGUUUGCAGUCAAUCAUGUCAGCAGCUUCCCGCCAUCACUGAUCCUCUCCAAUAACUUGCUUGUAGGGCCAGUCCUGCCAGUCCUUGGCCAUCUUGUGAAUCUUCAUGUACUGGACUUGAGCUGGAACAACUUCUCAGGGGGCAUUCCCGACGAGCUGUCAAACAUGUCGAGCCUGGAAGCGCUAAAUUUGUCCCACAAUGAUCUCAGUGGGAGCAUACCAGCAUCUCUAACAAAGUUGACAUUUCUGCCCAAGUUUGAUGUUUCUUACAACAACUUGGCUGGAGAUAUACCAACAGGGGGGCAAUUUUCCACAUUUGCGAAUGAGGAUUUUGUGGGCAAUUCUGCACUCUACCAUCUUUGGAAUGACUCCUGCACCGAAGAGGCUCCAUUUGUGGAAACAAGAAAUGAGCAGCAUCGUGGUGCGGAUACUGCAAUGCCUGCGAUGACAUACAUCACCGUGGAAGUGGGAUUCGCUUUUGGGCUUUUGAUCGUCUGGAAUGUACUGUUCUUCAUAAGGGUUUGGAGGGUUGCGUAUUUUCUGACGAUUGAUAGGUUCUUUGAUAUGAUUUAUAUCAUAACAGUGGUGAAGGUGAACAAGCUCAGAAGAAAAUGGGAGUAUAAUGUUCAUCCUUAAAGAAAGUCAGACGCGGUUGUGUGCAGAUGUUCUUUACUUCAUAUGUUGUUUCCUAUUCUCAGUUUACGGUUUCUUCCUUGGUCCUUGCUUCCGCUUCAGGUGUCACUAGCUUUGUUUGAUUUAGCAGCAGGGCUCUCCCUGUGGUUAGAUUUUUAGUUUCUCUUCAUGUUGCGAAAAAUAUUGUUUGUCAUAUGUAUUGAUUACAUUAAAAUUUAAGAACUUUAUGUGAGGUGCUAAUCUGAAGACUGGUCGCCGUGUGGAGCAGUAAAAUCUGCUAUCCCCUGUCUCAGUUUGUUUGAGCAUUUUUCAGUUCUGUUUUCGGGUUUUCCCUCCUGAAAUCUCGCUUUCCACUUUCUCUUUACUAUUUCUGCAAUGAUUGGAGUCAGUGGCUCCAAGAAACACCUGCAUUUUUUUCUGUAUAUAGAACGUUGUGUAAGCUUUGCUUUAUUCUGUUUGUGACUGUUGUCUUGGCCAAUCCUAGCAUUUUUUUAAUGUUACCUCAUUGUUUUUUUAGCAAGGCUUUUGGUCUCAGCUGGCAAUUCCUUGAGUCUGCUUAUAGAAAAGGAGAGACAAGUUUGAGACAAUGCAAUCUUGUCUCUUGUCUCUUAUAAAAAUGGAGAGAGAAGUUUGCCAGACUGAAACAGAUACAUCAAACUUGCCUCUUGACAGAGGUAGGUCUAAAGCACUAUUCUGGAUAAACCUGGAUUCAGCUCCUCUGACGUGCUGUGAGGCACGACACAGCUGCCGUGCCUCCUUUGGCUAGACUAGCAGGGCGCGAAUGGGGCAUUAAAAAUUGAAAGGCUAACUAGCCAGCAGGCCAGUCAUUGCCGUCUGAUGUAAACUGAACACAACACAACACAACACAAAACAGAACCAGCAAACUGAAAGAAACGGGCAAAUUUGACAAUUGUAGCGAUUGAAGUGGCUGGUGGAGCACUCGUCUGUCAUCUCUUGGAAGAAUGGAAUGAAUUAAGUUCACCUUAUGACCCAGCAUCUGAAUGCUCAUCUGUUCUGCCUUUUGAGUGCAAUCAAGUACAGUGGAUAAGGCAUGCAUUCCCCGGCUAGAGGAUCAAAGAAUCCAGGUGUAAUACUCCCUUAAUGGUUGGGCUAAUAGGCUAUCCUUUGUUACUGUACAAUUAGCUCCACUAGCGUUUAAUGUACCUUGUAGUGCCGAGGCAACGCACUGAAUGUUGUGCAGUAAUCUGAACCCCAACAUUACAAAGUUAAUAUCUGGUGAUCCCUGAAUUUCAUAUAAAAAGAAACUUUACAGCUGUCUGCAAGAUCUAA